AGCUGCUGAGGAGCAAGAGGCCUCCUGUAGCUGAAGCUGCCUGAUCCCCAGUUUUGUGCAAUGAAAUAGGCAAUGAUCAUCAAAAGCUUCUCCAUACAGAAGUGAGAUGGCUGUUGCAUGGAAGAUUUUGACUAGUCUCUUUGAACUCCAUUCUGAGGGAACCAUUGAUGGGGCUAAAGUAACAGGAGCUUCCCUUCUGCUAGUAUUUCCACCAUCCAGAAACUGAAAAGCCAAGAGAAAAAGAUCUCCUAUGUUAACCCCACAAAUCCUUAGAUGUGGUUCCUUAUUGUUUUUUCCUUCUGUAAAGCCUUAUGAUUUGGGUCCUGGUGAGGAUAGAGACUGCAGGACACAGAUUCUCAGAUGGCAUGAAGUUAGAAUAGCUCCAUUGACUUCAAAUGAGCUACACCAACUGAAAAUCUGCCUCCACUUCAUCCCCUCUCUCCUUGUAUGUCACCACAACAGUUAAGACAAUCUGUAAUGUCCUUCUAGUUAAGUCCCCUGAUUUGAAUGGGAGGAGGGGUUGGAGCCAGGCUAUUUUUCUAAGUGGGGGCCCCAUAAUCCUGAGAUUUGUUUCACUUGCCAAAAUAAAUGUAGCUAACAAAAUGGGGAAUUGAAAUAAUUAAAUGAACAGCAUGAUGAAUCCUGCACCCAAGCUCCCACAAGAAAGUUGUCCUAUUUCAUUAAAUUGAGAUGGUUUAAACUGAAAUAUAGGACCCUCAUAACCCAGGCCUCUCUCCAAUGGUCUUGCAACACCACAUACUUCAGCCUUCCCAUCUAGAGACCUGAAGGAAAAAAAAAAUCCUCCUCUCAC
Mauremys reevesii (Reeves's turtle) is the source of this 811-nucleotide long non-coding RNA. RefSeq lists it as uncharacterized. The transcript has 3 exons. The record is from RefSeq and is a predicted model, not a curated record. NCBI's taxonomy places the organism in Eukaryota, Metazoa, Chordata, Testudines, Geoemydidae.